RNAcentral lists this ribosomal RNA (497 nucleotides) under uncultured bacterium. Its description in RNAcentral is "partial 16S ribosomal RNA". It matches the Rfam family "Bacterial small subunit ribosomal RNA", at positions 28 to 507 of the family's 1533-position model. The record is from RNAcentral.
GAUGAACGCUGGCGGCGUGCCUAAUACGUGCAAGUCGAGCGAACGGACGAGAAGCUUGCUUCUCUGAUGUUAGCGGCGGACGGGUGAGUAACACGUGGAUAACCUACCUAUAAGACUGGGAUAACUUCGGGAAACCGGAGCUAAUACCGGAUAAUAUUUUGAACCGCAUGGUUCAAAAGUGAAAGACGGUCUUGCUGUCACUUAUAGAUGGAUCCGCGCUGCAUUAGCUAGUUGGUAAGGUAACGGCUUACCAAGGCAACGAUGCAUAGCCGACCUGAGAGGGUGGUCGGACACACUGGAACUGAGACACGGUCCAGACUCCUACGGGAGGCAGCAGUGGGGAAUCUUCCGCAAUGGGCGAAAGCCUGACGGAGCAACGCCGCGUGAGUGAUGAAGGUCUUCGGAUCGUAAAACUCUGUUAUUAGGGAAGAACAUAUGUGUAAGUAACUGUGCACAUCUUGACGGUACCUAAUCAGAAAGCCACGGCUAACUACGUG